AAUGAACGCUGGCGGCGCGCCUAAUACAUGCAAGUCGAGCGAGAAGACGUAGCAAUACGUUUGUAAAGCGGCGAACGGGUGAGGAAUACAUGGGUAACCUACCCUCGAGUGGGGAAUAACUAGCCGAAAGGUUAGCUAAUACCGCGUACGCUCCUUGGACUUCGGUUCAGGGAGGAAAGCGAUACCGUGGGUAUCGCGCUCUUGGUUGGGCUCAUGUCCUAUCAGCUUGUUGGGAGGUAACGGCUCACCAAGGCUUCGACGGGUAGCUGGUCUGAGAGGACGAUCAGCCACACUGGCACUGCGACACGGGCCAGACUCCUACGGGAGGCAGCAGUAAGGAAUAUUGCGCAAUGGGCGAAAGCCUGACGCAGCGACGCCGCGUGGGGGA
This 388-nucleotide ribosomal RNA is filed under the name uncultured bacterium. RNAcentral's name for it is "bacterial SSU rRNA". It matches the Rfam family "Bacterial small subunit ribosomal RNA", at positions 29 to 408 of the family's 1533-position model. The record is from RNAcentral.